CGCUGGCGGCAGGCUUAACACAUGCAAGUCGAGCGGGCGUAGCAAUACGUCAGCGGCAGACGGGUGAGUAACGCGUGGGAACAUACCUUUUGGUUCGGAACAACACAGGGAAACUUGUGCUAAUACCGGAUAAGCCCUUACGGGGAAAGAUUUAUCGCCGAAAGAUUGGCCCGCGUCUGAUUAGCUAGUUGGUGAGGUAACGGCUCACCAAGGCGACGAUCAGUAGCUGGUCUGAGAGGAUGAUCAGCCACAUUGGGACUGAGACACGGCCCAAACUCCUACGGGAGGCAGCAGUGGGGAAUAUUGGACAAUGGGCGCAAGCCUGAUCCAGCCAUGCCGUGUGAGUGAUGAAGGCCCUAGGGUUGUAAAGCUCUUUUGUGCGGGAAGAUAAUGACGGUACCGCAAGAAUAAGCCCCGGCUAACUUCGUGCCAGCAGCCGCGGUAAUACGAAGGGGGCUAGCGUUGCUCGGAAUCACUGGGCGUAAAGGGUGCGUAGGCGGGUCUUUAAGUCAGGGGUGAAAUCCUGGAGCUCAACUCCAGAACUGCCU
RNAcentral lists this ribosomal RNA (548 nucleotides) under uncultured bacterium. RNAcentral describes it as "bacterial SSU rRNA". It matches the Rfam family "Bacterial small subunit ribosomal RNA", at positions 34 to 626 of the family's 1533-position model. The record is from RNAcentral.